RNAcentral lists this ribosomal RNA (468 nucleotides) under uncultured bacterium. RNAcentral's name for it is "partial 16S ribosomal RNA". It matches the Rfam family "Bacterial small subunit ribosomal RNA", at positions 28 to 507 of the family's 1533-position model. The record is from RNAcentral.
GACGAACUCUGGCGGCGUGCUUAACACAUGCAAGUCGAACGGAAAGACCCUGCUUUUGUGGGGUGCUCGAGUGGCGAACGGGUGAGUAACACGUGAGUAACCUGCCCUUGACUUUGGGAUAACUUCAGGAAACUGGGGCUAAUACCGGAUAGGAGCUCCUGCUGCAUGGUGGGGGUUGGAAAGUUUCGGCGGUUGGGGAUGGACUCGCGGCUUAUCAGCUUGUUGGUGGGGUAGUGGCUUACCAAGGCUUUGACGGGUAGCCGGCCUGAGAGGGUGACCGGCCACAUUGGGACUGAGAUACGGCCCAGACUCCUACGGGAGGCAGCAGUGGGGAAUAUUGCACAAUGGGCGGAAGCCUGAUGCAGCAACGCCGCGUGCGGGAUGACGGCCUUCGGGUUGUAAACCGCUUUCGCCUGUGACGAAGCGUGAGUGACGGUAAUGGGUAAAGAAGCACCGGCUAACUACGUG